This 492-nucleotide ribosomal RNA is filed under the name uncultured bacterium. RNAcentral's name for it is "partial 16S ribosomal RNA". It matches the Rfam family "Bacterial small subunit ribosomal RNA", at positions 29 to 507 of the family's 1533-position model. The record is from RNAcentral.
AGUGAACGCUGGCGGUAGGCCUAACACAUGCAAGUCGAACGGCAGCACAGUAAGAGCUUGCUCUUACGGGUGGCGAGUGGCGGACGGGUGAGGAAUACAUCGGAAUCUACUUUUUCGUGGGGGAUAACGUAGGGAAACUUACGCUAAUACCGCAUACGACCUACUGGUGAAAGCAGGGGAUCUUCGGACCUUGCGCGAUUGAAUGAGCCGAUGUCGGAUUAGCUAGUUGGCGGGGUAAAGGCCCACCAAGGCGACGAUCCGUAGCUGGUCUGAGAGGAUGAUCAGCCACACUGGAACUGAGACACGGUCCAGACUCCUACGGGAGGCAGCAGUGGGGAAUAUUGGACAAUGGGCGCAAGCCUGAUCCAGCCAUACCGCGUGGGUGAAGAAGGCCUUCGGGUUGUAAAGCCCUUUUGUUGGGAAAGAAGAGCAGCAGGUUAAUACCCCGCUGUUCUGACGGUACCCAAAGAAUAAGCACCGGCUAACUUCGUG